This 348-nucleotide unclassified non-coding RNA is filed under the name soil metagenome. RNAcentral's name for it is "partial contains 5.8S ribosomal RNA, internal transcribed spacer 2, and large subunit ribosomal RNA". The stretch from base 1 to 120 matches the Rfam family "5.8S ribosomal RNA", at positions 35 to 154 of the family's 154-position model. The record is from RNAcentral.
GAUGAAGAACGUAGCGAAAUGCGAUACGUAAUGUGAAUUGCAGAAUUCAGUGAAUCAUCGAAUCUUUGAACGCACAUUGCGCCCGCUGGUAUUCCGGCGGGCAUGCCUGUUCGAGCGUCAUUUCAACCCUCAAGCCCCCGGGUUUGGUGUUGGGGAUCGGCUCUGCCCUUCUGGGCGGUGCCGCCCCCGAAAUACAUUGGCGGUCUCGCUGCAGCCUCCAUUGCGUAGUAGCUAACACCUCGCAACUGGAACGCGGCGCGGCCAUGCCGUAAAACCCCAACUUCUGAAUGUUGACCUCGGAUCAGGUAGGAAUACCCGCUGAACUUAAGCAUAUCAAUAAGAGGAGGA